RNAcentral lists this long non-coding RNA (670 nucleotides) under Mus musculus (house mouse). RNAcentral's name for it is "RIKEN cDNA G730013B05 gene". Lineage: Eukaryota; Metazoa; Chordata; Mammalia; Rodentia; Muridae. The record is from RNAcentral.
AUAGAACUCUUUUCCCCCUACCCCCAAAACGAAAGUAGAAUAGCUCAGCAAAUCACUCCCAUUUCUUUCUUAUUUUCCCGGCGUCUUAAUUAUCACCAGCGGGAUGGACAGGAAGAAAAGUCUGGAAGACACAUUUAGGAACUUUGUCAUCGAUGCAGUUGUUUCCUGAUAACGGAUGGAGUGCCUGCUGUAUUGAGAUUAUGGGUGUGGGCCACAGUGCCCAGCCAGAUGUAUCUUCUAAUCCACCAAGGGAAUCUGAACUGUUAAUUAAUUGUUAAUUGUUAAAACAUUGCUGGGUGAAUAAGCAGAUGUGGUUGGAAGCAUACUAUUGAUGAAAAUCACCUCAGCUAAUAGACGUAGCUCAACCAAAACAUUGGCUUACACAAUUUGCUGGAAUUCUCUGUCUUCCACUAGCGGGCUUCAGCAGAAGAUCUGAACUCUCAGCUCCUCCUGCACCAUGCCUGUCUGGAUGCUGCCAUGCUGCCACCUUGAUGAUAAUGGACUCCUGCACCAUGCCUGCCUGGAUGCUGCCAUGCUGCCACCUUGAUGAUAAUGGACUCCUGCACCAUGCCUGCCUGGAUGCUGCCAUGCUGCCACCUUGAUGAUAAUGGACUCCUGCGCCAUGCCUGUCUGGAUGCUGCCAUGCUGCCACCUUGAUGAUAAUGGACUC